This 253-nucleotide ribosomal RNA is filed under the name uncultured bacterium. RNAcentral describes it as "partial 16S ribosomal RNA". It matches the Rfam family "Bacterial small subunit ribosomal RNA", at positions 524 to 776 of the family's 1533-position model. The record is from RNAcentral.
UACGAAGGGAGCGAGCGUUGUUCGGAAUCACUGGGCUUAAAGCGUGCGUAGGUGGAUAUGUAAGUCAGAAGUGAAAUCCCCGGGCUUAACCCGGGAACUGCUUUUGAGACUGCAUGUCUGGAGUUCGGUAGAGGUUAGUGGAAUAUCCAGUGUAGAGGUGAAAUUCGCAGAUAUUGGAUGGAACACCAGUGGCGAAGGCGACUAACUGGACCGACAUUGACACUGAGGCACGAAAGCGUGGGUAGCAAACAGG